GCUUCUCGGAGAAGGAUGAGCUCAUUGGUGGUGACAAGAGCUGCCCUCUGUCCUUCCUUCUCUUCUCCAAUGCUGGAAGAAGUGGGAUGUGAGUUCUCAAAUGUCACAGAAGCCUACAAAAUGCUGACUCUGGAUGCCACGCAUAACUGGGGCUGGCUCGGAAUGAGCAGACAGGGUAACACCAUCAUCUGCUAAGAAUUCAUUGUUCUGCAGCUUGCCCUCGACACAAUGAUUCAUCUGGAGGAUGUGUUGAAACACACUGUUGGAUCCCUCUCCUCGGGAUUCUGAUGCAACCAGCCUGGAAGGAGCCAGAGAACUGCCUUUCUAAUCAACCCGCUGGCGGUGCUGACACCGCCGGUUCAGAGACCUCACUCUGAGAACCACAGUUCUACAAUGUUUUUUGGUUUUUUUUUUUGCUAUGUAUGCCUUAAUGGUAUCUCUAUAUUCCUAAUAUGUGCACAGUGGAUUAAUAAAAAUGGACCCAUGUAUUACUCA
Molecule: long non-coding RNA, 495 nt
Organism: Cavia porcellus (domestic guinea pig)
Lineage: Eukaryota; Metazoa; Chordata; Mammalia; Rodentia; Caviidae
Exons: 2
Source: RefSeq, a predicted model, not a curated record